CUGUGUGGACAGACGGUCGCGGGUUUCGAUUCGUGCGAAACGCGAGGAAAGUCCGGACACGACAGGACACGGUGGUGGAUAACGUCCACCGACCUUUGAUUGCUGGGUCAGGGCGAGUGCCACAGAGAGUAGACCGCCGAUGGUCACGUUCGCGUGACACAGGUAAGGGUGAAAGGGUGCGGUAAGAGCGCACCGCGUGCUUGGUGACAAGCAUGGCUUGGUAAACCCCACCGCGUGCAAGCGCAAGCAGUUCUCGAUCCACUUUGGUGGAUGCCCCUUGUCUGGGGGAUGAGAACGGGUCGCGUGCAAAAGCGUGUCGGC
This 321-nucleotide RNase P RNA is filed under the name Phycisphaerales bacterium. RNAcentral's name for it is "partial RNase P RNA component class A". It matches the Rfam family "Bacterial RNase P class A", at positions 1 to 293 of the family's 367-position model. Rfam says of the family: Ribonuclease P (RNase P) is a ubiquitous endoribonuclease, found in archaea, bacteria and eukarya as well as chloroplasts and mitochondria. Its best characterised activity is the generation of mature 5'-ends of tRNAs by cleaving the 5'-leader elements of precursor-tRNAs. The record is from RNAcentral. Lineage: Bacteria; Pseudomonadati; Planctomycetota; Phycisphaerae; Phycisphaerales.